This 335-nucleotide ribosomal RNA is filed under the name Teleaulax amphioxeia. RNAcentral's name for it is "eukaryotic LSU rRNA". It matches the Rfam family "Eukaryotic large subunit ribosomal RNA", at positions 348 to 644 of the family's 3401-position model. The record is from RNAcentral. Lineage: Eukaryota; Cryptophyceae; Pyrenomonadales; Geminigeraceae.
GUACCGUGAGGGAAAGGUGAAAAGAACUUUGAAAAGAGAGUGAAAUAGCGCUUGAAACCUAGGAGGAAAGCGAAUGGAGUUGCUAUACGACCGAGAUAUCUCAAACUGGCACGUAAGUUGGUUUCAGUGUAGUGAUCUCGUGUCUUCGUUCGUAGAAGACUGUCUAUCCUGGCGCGUGCUUAAAUCUCGAUAUCUUAUAUAUGGAAAAUUUAAAGGCUGUCCAGACGAACGUAUAACGACGGCUUCUAAUUUCUAGAAGAAUACUAAUCAUAGAAGUAACGUGCUUGCACGUUUAUUCUAUAUACUGUUCUUAGGACGGACGGAAGGGCUUCAUU